CGAAGCGUACGGUCGGUGGCGGUUAAAGCGCGUUUCCUUCGACAUUAAAUUAUAUGAAAUAUGCAUUUUUUUUUUAAGAAUUUUGUAGCGCAUAAUGUAAACGAAAAAUAAAACAGAAAGAAACAAUAAAAUAUGUUAAAUAUUACAUUGGAACCUGCUUAAGCGCCUAAAAGUAUGCAAUAUAUAUUGAGUACAUAUAUAAAAAACAACCCUUUAAAGGAUUUAUAAUAAAUGUUCCGCACUUAAAGCUAUCGGUUGUCUGCAUUUUUUGUCGCUUUUUGGUCGUUUUUUCGUUGUAUCGCAAAGGACGAGCAGAAAUCAUUAAAUCAAUUAGGCCAAAGGAUAAAAACCAGCCACUGUCGGACGCAGGUGAUACUGCAUACCACACGGCAACUAAUGUGUAACAAAAAAAAGAGAAAUUAAAGUUACAAAAAAUGUGGAAAACGCGCGUGGAAAUUAAGCUGCAAUGCAGAGUGUAAGUUAGUGCGGCGGCAAGGAGCACAAGCACAAACGAAGUGAGUAAAUGGCAAACUAGAAAGUUGAAGAAAAAAGCGCGCACGACGCACACAGACUCAUGAAUGACAGCUACUUCAAGUAUACAUAAUACGGCGUUCCUGUAGUCGUAGUGUUGGUGAGGGCAAGUGAAAGCGAAAGUUGUGAAAUGAAAGAAAACAAAUGAAGACGAAGUUAAACAUAAGCUUAGUCAUUUCCUUUCCGCUUGAGUGUAAAAAAUAAUUAAAUAAAAGCACAGAAAUAUAUGUACUUAACAACGAAAUUCAUAUUUCUAAAAUAAUUCACAUUUGCAAAAUAAGCCAAGGGCACAAAAAUGCCUGUGCAGGUCGGUAAGUGCGGUCGAGCUUAGCAUACCAUUAGGCGCUCUCCAAAAAAUGUAAGAAAAGGUGGCAAAUAACAUUUAAUCUUCAAAAAGUGGACCACGAAAUUCAUCUGAAAGCAAUCAAAUAUAAACCAUAACAACAAUAACAACGUGCGCUGCCUUCAAAUGUCCACGGCACGCGUUUGAAAAUACCAUUAGAUGCGCACAAAACUAUGCUACACGCUGAUUGAGAUGAAUUUUAAAAACGCUGCGUAAAAAUAGACAACUAACUAGGUCAAUUUUCGUAUAAACGCGAACGUGCGACGCCAAACUAGUUUAGAAGGUGUAUAAAAACAAAAAGUGAAAUAAAAAACGUAAGCGAAUAGACAGCGCAAAUAGCAUACGAAAGCAUAACGAAAAACAAGCAAAAAAUAAAAAAUAAAAAAAGCAGAAUCUCAGCUGAAAGAAGAGUGAAAUAAAAGAGGCAAGAAAAAUAAAAAACUAAAAAUAAAAGUGAAACUAAGCAAGAAGAGCGUGGCUGAGUAUGUAUGUGUGAGUGUUUGCGUACGCCACGGAUUGAGCCAAAGAGUCGCUGAAAAAGAUAUACUUUCAACCCAAAUGAUUUGUGUCGGUAACGAGUAAAUGUGUGAAAUUCAGCGCGCAACUCUCAAGUCGGAAAAUUCCUUUGUAAUUUGCAAACAAUUAAAAAAAUAAAUAUCAAGAGCAAUUGAUGCGUUAAAAAAAAUUAAAAAAAAAAUUCAACAAAACAUAUCAACAGUGCCACUUCAAGCGGAAUAUAGGUUAAGAAGCGAUUGUAGGAAUUAAAAUUAUAUAUAAAUGUUUGUAUUAAAAUAUAAUUUUUUUUUUAACGGAAAUAAGUGAAACUAAAAACUGCAAAAAAAUAUUUACUCACGGUUAAAAUUAUUUCAAAUUUACGGUAUGUUCUCAAAAAAUCAUUAGAACUAAAGUGCAAAAAAAAAACAUACAUAUCAGCAGUUUAUGCAAAAAUAAAAACGAAAAUUAAGAAAAAAGCAAAAGAAUAACAAAACAGGAAAGUCAAAGCAACGCUUUGAUGUGCAACUACAAAAAAAAAUUAAAAUAGAAAAGUGUAAAAAAUAACUUUGCAUUAAGGCAAACAGUACAAAAAGCAAACACCAAUAAAUUGCUAACAACUAUAACAACGACAGCAAGCCGUUUAUGUUAGCGUAAAUACAUACAAACACAUACAUAAACAUACGUGUACGACUAUAAGCAAAUAAUUGGCAGUUUGUGUUUAUUUUAUCAAAAAAACAAAAAAAAAGUUAUAAAAAGUUAUGUCUUUACCGCUGCACCGCAUAGUAAGCAUGCAGAACAAGAGCAGCUACAUCAGAGAAAUAAUAAUAAUAGCAACAACAAAAGAGGUACUCAUAUCAGCAUAGAAGCUAACAAAUACUAAUUGCAUGCAUAUGAACUGAAGUAAAA
Molecule: long non-coding RNA, 2275 nt
Organism: Ceratitis capitata (Mediterranean fruit fly)
Lineage: Eukaryota; Metazoa; Arthropoda; Insecta; Diptera; Tephritidae
Exons: 4
Source: RefSeq, a predicted model, not a curated record